RNAcentral lists this ribosomal RNA (519 nucleotides) under uncultured bacterium. RNAcentral describes it as "bacterial SSU rRNA". It matches the Rfam family "Bacterial small subunit ribosomal RNA", at positions 30 to 526 of the family's 1533-position model. The record is from RNAcentral.
AUUGAACGCUGGCGGCGUGCCUAAUACAUGCAAGUCGAGCGUGAAAUCCCCUUCGGGGGAGAGUAAAGCGGCGCACGGGUGAGUAACACGUGGAUAAUCUACCUUUUUGUUUGGGAUAACGUCUGGAAACGGGCGCUAAUACCGGAUACGCUCCAAAUAAGUCUAUUUUGGGGGAAAGGUGGCCUCUAUUUAUAAGCUAUCGCAGAGAGAUGAGUCCGCGCCUCAUUAGGUAGUUGGUGGGGUAAAGGCCUACCAAGCCUGUGAUGAGUAGCCGGCCUGAGAGGGUGAUCGGCCACACUGGGACUGGAACACGGCCCAGACUCCUACGGGAGGCAGCAGUAGGGAAUAUUGCGCAAUGAACGAAAGUUUGACGCAGCGACGCCGCGUGAGUGAUGAAGGUUUUCGGAUCGUAAAGCUCUGUCAAGAGGGAAGAAGUGUGUGUACUCUAACAUAGUGCGCAUUUGACGGUACCUCUGAAGGAAGCACCGGCUAACUCCGUGCCAGCCGCCGCAGUAACAC